This 87-nucleotide transfer RNA is filed under the name Endomicrobium sp. RNAcentral's name for it is "tRNA-Ser". It matches the Rfam family "tRNA". Rfam says of the family: Transfer RNA (tRNA) molecules are approximately 80 nucleotides in length. The record is from RNAcentral. Lineage: Bacteria; Pseudomonadati; Elusimicrobiota; Endomicrobiia; Endomicrobiales; Endomicrobiaceae.
GGAGAGAUGGCCGAGCGGUUUAAGGCGAUAGUCUUGAAAACUAUUAUAGGGAAAACCUUAUCGGGGGUUCAAAUCCCUCUCUCUCCA